This 783-nucleotide ribosomal RNA is filed under the name uncultured bacterium. RNAcentral's name for it is "bacterial SSU rRNA". It matches the Rfam family "Bacterial small subunit ribosomal RNA", at positions 43 to 836 of the family's 1533-position model. The record is from RNAcentral.
CGUGCUUAACACAUGCAAGUCGAACGGAAUCCAUGGUGUAGCAAUACACCGGAAGAUUUAGUGGCGAACGGGUGAGGAUCACGUGAGAAACGUGCCCCAGACUCUGGGAUAACAAUUGGAAACGAUUGCUAAUACCGGAUGACGUCGGAGAACCGCAUGGUUCACUGACGAAAGAUAUUUCGGUUUGGGAGCGUCUCGCGGCCUAUCAGCUUGUUGGUGGGGUAAUGGCCUACCAAGGCAACGACGGGUAGCUGGUCUGAGAGGAUGAUCAGCCACACUGGGACUGAGACACGGCCCAGACUCCUACGGGAGGCAGCAGUGGGGAAUCUUGCGCAAUGGGCGAAAGCCUGACGCAGCAACGCCGCGUGCGGGAUGAAGGCCUUCGGGCUGUAAACCGCUUUCAGCAGGAACGAAAAUGACGGUACCUGCAGAAGAAGGAGCGGCCAACUACGUGCCAGCAGCCGCGGUGACACGUAGGCUCCAAGCGUUGUCCGGAUUUAUUGGGCGUAAAGAGCUCGUAGGCGGUUGAGUAAGUCGGGUGUGAAAACUCUGGGCUUAACCCGGAGACGCCAUCCGAUACUGCUUGACUAGAGUUCAGGAGGGGAGUGGGGAAUUCCUAGUGUAGCGGUGAAAUGCGCAGAUAUUAGGAGGAACACCGGUGGCGAAGGCGCCACUCUGGACUGAAACUGACGCUGAGGAGCGAAAGCAUGGGUAGCAAACAGGAUUAGAUACCCUGGUAGUCCAUGCCGUAAACGGUGGGCACUAGGUGUGGGUUCCAACUAA